GCGACCGUUGGGCUCGCGCCGGGCAUCACCUGCGCCCACCCCCCUCAGCGCCCGGCGCGGGACCCUGAGAGGGUCCCCCUCAGCGGUCCCUUCGCGCUGAGAGACGAGGGGAAAGUGGCGAUGCGGUCGCUCAGAGCACCGAGAUUGAGAAAGAAUUAGGCAAACUGACGUGGCUGGAGAGGGAAACGGGAAUGAGGGCAUAACUGGCCCUGCAGAGCUCAGAAAGCUCCCUCAGAAACAAGGGCACAGCAUUUCACCGCCUCGGUCCUUCAGUCCAGCUCUCUGAACUCCUGGUAUAAAGUGAUGCGUAUUGAAAGUACCAAACCAAAAGAGCAUCACUAAAGCAGGGAAGUUUACUGCACAUGAAUGCUUCGAUCCAGAGAGGGCAAGAGAAAUGUGAGACAGGAUUUAAUCAUGUCAGUCCCGUGCUUCAGCAGCACAGCCCUCAGAUUCUUUAAUAAUACCAAGGAAGUAUCUUUCAUGUGAUUCCUGACUGAAUAAGAAGCUUGAAGGAAACGGGUGCAACAACAAGGCAUCUUCUUUCAUUUUCCUGAACAAGUGCAAUGAUGGUAGAUCUCAUUGGAUGCAAAGAAAAGAGGAGCAAGAGACAAUUUUUGUCUGGUUUAGAGACAGCAACUGUGCUAUAUUCUACCAUGUGCCUACAAAAUAAAUCUGCAAUUCAAGCAUAUGAGACGAGUUUACAAGCCAGCUGGAAACAAGGAUAAGCGGUUUUCACCUGCUGACCCCUGUCUUAAAGUGAGAUUGUUUUGUCAUAUAUAAAUAAUCCUUUCCACCUCCCACUUAUAACCUAAAAAUGAUGGAAGCUCAAAGCUCGGCAAGUGGCUCUCUUCCAUUCUUGUCUUGUAGCAGCCUAUCUGACUGUACUUGGCGUGUUCUUCAUUUCAGACUCCUCCAGAGGUGAAAGCAUUCAAAAAUGACUUUUAUAAAGUCUUUAGCAAAUUACCAUUUUGGUGUAUCUCUAGUACAUAGCAACAGCAGUAGAGUCGGACAAGCGCUUUGCCGGGAUUACGCAUAACUACUUGAUAUCAGUUUUCAUUACUACCUUUUCUCUGAACAAGAAGAACUGAAGAGGGUAGAUGUGCAGAGCUGCUUACUGCCUCAUUCUGCAUGGUUUCUAGAUUCCUUUUGCCAUUACAUGAGAGGCACAACAGAAGCGUUGGGAACUGAUAUUGCAGUCAGAGGUUUUUGCUUCUAUUAUACAUACAGCGUUUAUAUUAGAUUAGAUCCCAACAUUAAUAAAACAUUGAAUGUAAGUGCAAGAAUUAAUACAGUGCAAGAGCAAUUUAAAAAUGUGAGGCAAUUAGUCAGCCUUUUCUUCAGUUUGAAAAGAUUCAACUCAAUUUCCUAUUGAUAGAUCGCUUCGAGGAAUGCCAGAUCAAUAAUGUAAAGUGUUCUGGGAUUAUAACAAAAGGCAAAGUGCUUAAUAAAAGCAAGCUUCAUAGUGGGUUUUGUUAUAAUCCCACUGAUCUGAGAUAUAACGUCCUGUUUGUACACAAAGGCUGAGUAGCCUGUGCUGACUGACAAUACAGAUGGUUCCUUCUUUGGAUUGCUCAGCCAUAGAGAAAGAAUUGAUCUAGAUUAUCCAAAAGCAAUCUCAAGUUUCCCAUGUGGCUUUAAGAGCUGUACAAAACAGAACUUUGAUACUGGGCACAAAGCAAAAGUUGCCACUUCCAUUAUGCAUUUCUAGUAUGAUAAUAAUCAGAGAAUGAAUUCUUAUUUUUCUUAGGGGGAGUCCUAGUUCUGCACUAGUGGCCAGUAGUUGCUUCAGGGAACACUGUCAAACAUAUCAUCUUAGAAUAUUUACUACCAUACUGGAAGGGAAAGAAAAAAGAAUCUGUUAUCUAAUGUGACAUUAUGGGUGUUUCAGAGGUGCAGAUUGAUGUACAUGCAUGUGAUGUAUGUGCAUAACUCCAUUAGCACUAAUGGGAGUUAAUGGGUACAGCCUGCUAGAAGAGAAGAGGCUAUUUCUCUAAGUGUCGCAGGCUAAUAAAAAUGACAUUUCAAUUUAGAUGUCCAACCUUCAAUUUAGGCAGCAAGUGCUUCGGAUGAAUAUUUUGACAGUUACAGUACCAUAAUUAACUUCAGGCUCAAAUUGAUUUGUUUAUGCUUUCUAUAGUUCAUCCACAAUAUUUAAGGCCUUGAUUCUGUUCUGUGAUAUAAGGUGAAACAUUCACUUGAGUUUAGAAGCUUUGUUUUGUUGGUAUAAUAUAUUAAAAGGAUAUCACAUGCCUACUGAACUUCUUAAUCAUUUUUUAACAAAAUAUUUUAAUUGUGCUAGGUGUGUUAGUUUUUUUGGCAGAACAAACAGGAGUCAGUUCAUGUGAAUCACCAGCAUUUUGCACAAUCAGAAGAGUUGCUCACCAAAUUUAACAGACGCUGAAAGCUGUGCAGAGCUGCUGAGAGCUCUAUGGUAUUCUUGUUCUGGAGUUACUGGAACUGUGAGGGAGCAAUGAAUGGAAUAACCACACACUUCUCUCUGUCUGCAUGCCCGAUACACCUUUCAAAGGAGAUCAGGGCAAGGAAGAAGGUAGUCUCUCCUUUAGAGAUGUGCUUUAGAGAUGUACUGUGAAAUACUUCUUGGGUAUGUUUUUUUCAUUUUUCAGUUCCUAGCAAUGAACUCAUUAGAAAAAAA
This is a long non-coding RNA of Phasianus colchicus (ring-necked pheasant), 2653 nucleotides long. RefSeq lists it as uncharacterized. Lineage: Eukaryota; Metazoa; Chordata; Aves; Galliformes; Phasianidae. The record is from RefSeq and is a predicted model, not a curated record.